Molecule: ribosomal RNA, 486 nt
Filed under: uncultured soil bacterium
Lineage: Bacteria
Description: bacterial SSU rRNA
Rfam family: Bacterial small subunit ribosomal RNA
Source: RNAcentral
AGGACAAACGCUGGCGGGGUGCGUGAGACAUGCAAGUCGAACGAGGUGCCAUCGGGCUUGCUCGAUGGCUACCUAGUGGCGGACGGCUGAGUAACGCGUAGGUGACCUACCCGGAAGUGGGGAAUAACUGCCCGAAAGGGUGGCUAAUACCGCAUACGGUCGACGAUUCGUUUCGUCGUCCAAAGGAGUAAUCCGCUUCCGGCGGGGCCUGCGUCCGAUUAGCUAGUUGGUGGGGUAACGCUCACCAAGGCGACGAUCGGUAGCUGGUCUGAGAGGAUGAUCAGCCAGACUGGGACUGAGAACGGCCCAGACUCCUACGGGAGGCAGCAGUCGGGAAUUUGCCCAAUGGACGAAAAGUCUGAGGCAGCAAACUCCGCGUGAGGGACGAAAGGCUCUCGGGUCGUAAAACCUCUUUUCUCAGGGAAGAUCCAAAGACGGUACCUGAGGAAUAAAGCCAACGGCUAACUACGUGCCAAGCAAGCCGAC